RNAcentral lists this unclassified non-coding RNA (391 nucleotides) under fungal sp. Its description in RNAcentral is "partial internal transcribed spacer region". The stretch from base 1 to 46 matches the Rfam family "Eukaryotic small subunit ribosomal RNA", at positions 1786 to 1831 of the family's 1831-position model. The record is from RNAcentral. Lineage: Eukaryota; Fungi.
AAGUCGUAACAAGGUUUCCGUAGGUGAACCUGCGGAAGGAUCAUUAACACGUUCCAAACGUAUCAACCAAUGAGAAUUGUUUUCACCUCUCCCUAUGCUGAGAAUGAAUUGGAACUUGAUAUAGGCCAUAAAUGGGGCUGCCGCAAGGCGCCAACCUAUAGAAGUCACUUAUCGAAGCGAAAGUUUUGAUAGACAAUUGUAUUUCAGUAUUAGGCUUCGUCUUGCUAAUUUGAUCUCCAUUUAUGAUCGUGUUAGCGAGACACUUAUUAACCUAUUUCACCCCUUUUUGCUAGUUGACUUUUAUAUGUUGUUCUUUGCGCAAGCAAGGUUCACACGUUUAAUUAUUUGAACGUUAAAAAUACAACUCUUAGCAAUGGAUAUCUUGGUUCUC